This 379-nucleotide ribosomal RNA is filed under the name uncultured bacterium. RNAcentral describes it as "bacterial SSU rRNA". It matches the Rfam family "Bacterial small subunit ribosomal RNA", at positions 521 to 896 of the family's 1533-position model. The record is from RNAcentral.
UAAAACGUAGGAGGCAAGCGUUAUCCGGAGUUACUGGGCGUAAAGCGUGUGUAGGUGGUUGGACAAGUUCGGUGUGAAAGCGCCCGGCUCAACUGGGCGAGGACAUUGAAGACUGUUCGGCUAGAGGCUGGUAGAGGGGUGUAGAAUUCCGGGUGUAGCGGUGAAAUGUGUAGAGAUCCGGAGGAAUACCAGUGGUGCAGACGGCGCCCUGGGCCAGACCUGACACUGAGACACGAAAGCGUGGGGAGCGAACGGGAUUAGAGACCCCGGUAGUCCACGCCGUAAACGAUGCGAACUAGGUGCGCACUUGCCGCAAGGCAAGGGCGUGCCGCAGCUAACGCCAUAAGUUCGCCGCCUGGGGAGUACGGUCGCAAGGCUA